CCUACGGGUGGCUGCAGUGAGGAAUAUUCCUCAAUGGACGAGAGUCUGACCCAGCAACGUAGCGUGAAGGAUGACUGCCUUAUGAGUUGUAAACUUCGUUUAUAUGGGAAUAAAAUGUUCCAAGUGUGGGAUUUUGUAUGUACCAUACGAAUAAGGAUCGGCUAACUCAGUGCCAGCAGCCGCGGUAAUAAGGAGGAUACGAGGGUUAUCCGGAUUUAUUGGGUUUAAAGGGAGCGUAGGUGGAGUGUUAAGUCAGUUGUGAAAGUUCACGGCUCAACCGUAAAAUUUCAGUGGAAACUGGCAAUCGUGAGUGCAGAAGAGGUGAGUGGAAUUCGUGGUGUAGCGGUGAAAUGCGUAGAUAUCACGAAGAACUCCAAUUGCGAAGGCAGCUCACUGGUCUGUAACUGACACUGAGGCUCGAAAGUGUGGGUAUCAAACAGGAUUAGAUACCCUUGUAGUC
This 460-nucleotide ribosomal RNA is filed under the name uncultured bacterium. RNAcentral's name for it is "partial 16S ribosomal RNA". It matches the Rfam family "Bacterial small subunit ribosomal RNA", at positions 338 to 795 of the family's 1533-position model. The record is from RNAcentral.